RNAcentral lists this long non-coding RNA (823 nucleotides) under Numida meleagris (helmeted guineafowl). RNAcentral's name for it is "lncRNA (ENSNMEG00000019278.1)". Lineage: Eukaryota; Metazoa; Chordata; Aves; Galliformes; Numididae. The record is from RNAcentral.
ACUGCAUUAACUUUGUUUGAAAUGAUAGGUUGCUGAGGCUCUAAUCUAGGAUUAGUCUUUUUCUUGCAGUCAGAAAAAAUGCUCCCUUACUUAGGGCCUUUUCAAACAGUUCAGCUCAGUAAUUGUUUAAUUACAAGCUGAGAAACUGACCUGUACUGAAAAGGCAGAAACUCUCGCUUUUCUUUCAGAAACUGUGGGAAGAAUAGGAGGAACAGGUCUAAUAAUUAAAAACUUGGAGACAACAGCUAAAAGAGAUGAUCAGAAAUCAGCAUUAAAGCAUGUAACGUGAUGGGAGCUCAUUUUGUCAAGUGGAAUACAAACAUGGCAGAAAAGGAAAACCUUCUCUGAACACUGAUUACUGCGCUGCAUUUUUGAACAUAUUAAUCCAGAAUAAAAGAGCUCUUCUGCCAAGAAGCAAGGUCUUCUUGCAGAAUGUGAUGAUACGCAGACCCUAACUAUGUAACUUCCAGAGGUCAAAGAGAAGAUCAGAAGUAGUCCAGAACAUCCAUAAUUGAUAAACCCUGUAUGAAGCAAAGUCAGAUCCUGACUUCCAACACCCAGAGAGCUCCUUAAUGAAAAAGUGAGUGCUGGUGUGAAUCACUUCCUGGUGUCCUGCGAGACAAGGAAGAAGACAAUGCUGUGUAUGUUAUCAUGAUCCCAGCACUGCAGAGACAUAGCUGGGGAAGGCAUGGCUGAACUUUUUCAAAAUUGACUCGGUUAUCUGUUUCAACACUAGGAGUGAAUCUGGCUUAAUGUGUAAACUCUGGUGAAAGCACAGCUACAAGAUGAUGAUGGGGAAGAUGGGCAAAUAUUUAAAGUGAUU